UACAGAGGAUGCAAGCGUUAUCCGGAAUGAUUGGGCGUAAAGCGUCCGCAGGCGGUUUUGUAAGUCUGCUGUUAAAGCGUUAGGCUCAACCUAAUAAGGGCAGUGGAAACUAUGAGACUAGAGUAUGUUAGGGGUAGAGGGAAUUCCCAGUGUAGCGGUGAAAUGCGUAGAGAUUGGGAAGAACACCGGUGGCGAAAGCGCUCUGCUAGGACAAUACUGACACUGAGGGACGAAAGCGAGGGGAGCGAAUGGG
This 253-nucleotide ribosomal RNA is filed under the name uncultured bacterium. RNAcentral's name for it is "partial 16S ribosomal RNA". It matches the Rfam family "Bacterial small subunit ribosomal RNA", at positions 524 to 776 of the family's 1533-position model. The record is from RNAcentral.